UUGUUGCGGUUAAAAAGCUCGUAGUUGGAUUUCUGUUGAGGAUGACCGGUCCGCUCUUUGAGCGCGUAUCUGGUUCAGCCUUGGCAUCCUCUUGGGGAACGCUACUGUGCUUGAUUGCAUGGGGCGGUAUUCAAGACUUUUACUUUGAGGAAAUUAGAGCGUUCACGGCAAGCUAUCGCUUUGAAUAUAUUAGCAUGGAAUAAUAAUAUAGGACCUUGGUACUAUUUUGUUGGUUUCUAGAACUAAGGUAAUGAUUAAUAGGGAUAAUUGGGGGCAUUCGUAUUAACGCGUCAGAGGUGGAAUUCUUGGAUUGCGUUACGACGAACUAACUGCGAAAGCAUUUGCCAAGGAUGUUUUCAUUGAUCCAGAACGAAAGUUAGGGGAUCGA
Molecule: ribosomal RNA, 388 nt
Filed under: uncultured marine eukaryote
Lineage: Eukaryota
Description: SSU rRNA
Rfam family: Eukaryotic small subunit ribosomal RNA
Source: RNAcentral